UAAUAGCUGAGUCCAGACACAUCUACAAAAAAAACGGGGCGUUACUGCGAAGCCAUAUUAGUAUUAUAAUA
Molecule: non-coding RNA, 71 nt
Filed under: unclassified sequences
Description: DUF805 RNA
Rfam family: DUF805 RNA
Source: RNAcentral